GGUUUCCGUAGGUGAACCUGCGGAAGGAUCAUUACCUAGAGUUUGUAGACUUCGGUCUGCUACCUCUUACCCAUGUCUUUUGAGUACCUUCGUUUCCUCGGCGGGUCCGCCCGCCGAUUGGACAACAUUCANACCCUUUGCGGUUGCAAUCAGCGUCUGAAAAAACAUAAUAGUUACAACUUUCAACAACGGAUCUCUUGGUUCUGGCAUCGAUGAAGAACGCAGCGAAAUGCGAUAAGUAGUGUGAAUUGCAGAAUUCAGUGAAUCAUCGAAUCUUUGAACGCACAUUGCGCCCCUUGGUAUUCCAUGGGGCAUGCCUGUUCGAGCGUCAUUUGUACCUUCAAGCUCUGCUUGGUGUUGGGUGUUUGUCUCGCCUCUGCGUGUAGACUCGCCUUAAAACAAUUGGCAGCCGGCGUAUUGAUUUCGGAGCGCAGUACAUCUCGCGCUUUGCACUCAUAACGACGACGUCCAAAAGUACAUUUUUACACUCUUGACCUCGGAUCAGGUAGGGAUACCCGCUGAACUUAAGCAUAUCA
This 536-nucleotide ribosomal RNA is filed under the name uncultured fungus. Its description in RNAcentral is "eukaryotic LSU rRNA". The stretch from base 178 to 331 matches the Rfam family "5.8S ribosomal RNA". The record is from RNAcentral. Lineage: Eukaryota; Fungi.